Molecule: long non-coding RNA, 1442 nt
Organism: Oncorhynchus tshawytscha (Chinook salmon)
Lineage: Eukaryota; Metazoa; Chordata; Actinopteri; Salmoniformes; Salmonidae
Source: Ensembl
UAAUACUGUGAAAAUCGUGAACAUGAUGAUAAUGCAUUUUUAUUUUGCGUGAGAGCUGUUUGAAAAGACCGCCUGAAAUUGUCAGCCCGUUUCGUUCCCAUGGCGACGUCACCAGGCGGUUUAAAAAAAAAAAAGCCCCAUUUAGGCUCGUCCAAUUUGGCCCAUCACUCAGACCACUCUCAGACAGUCCUAGCAAAACUCUUUGCUUAAGAAAUUGCUCUUUGACCAGUUUUAAUUGAAAACAAUCCCAGUAAGGUACUUCAUUGUUACCUAGAAAUUAUUUGAUUUUGAGAUAAAAAUUGGCUGCAUUGAACCUUUUAAAUGAUCUAGAAAAUCAAUAGUUUUUUUAAUGGUUGUUUAACAAAGUUAGGGGCAGCAGGGAGCUGAGCGGUUAAGAGCAUUGGGUCAGUAACCGAAAGAUCGCUGGUUCAAAUCCCUGAGCCGACUAGGUAAAAAAAAAAGUGUCAAUGUGCCCUUGAGCAAAGCACUUAUCCAUAAUUGCUUCGGUAAGUUGCUCUGGAUAACAGUGUCUGCUAAAUUAUGUAAAUGUUAGCUGGCUAACUCAUAUGGCCUGCUAAAGUAUUAUGCCCUAUUACCUGGGACCACUAGGCUACGAUCUAUUGUCCAUAGAGAAACAUCUGUAUUGUACAUUACUAACGUGUCUCAUAAGCUAUUGUUGAAAUCAUUUGGAGAUUUGAUUCAGUGUGUCCGUUGUGUUUUCGCGACGAACUUCACUGCAUUUUGUCUUGACUGACCAGAACCAACCGAAAACAGGCCCUGGUGGCAUGUCAUAGUUUUUUUUAUUUUUUAUUAAUUAAUUAAUAUUUUUCUUUAUUUACAAUGUAUUUAUUUUUGAUUCUUUCUUUAAUUUUUGUAUUUAUUUUGUUUUCUAUUGCUUUUGAAAAUGUCUCUCGAAUAUUAGUUUUAAAAUGUUCAAAGUUUUUUUUUGUAUCUUGUGUGUUUUAAAAGGGGCUCUAUCAUUAAGCUACAUAGCAGGUUUGAUAGGUCCACGUGGGUUAUAAAGUGAAAAGGAUGGAGUAAACAUUAAUGACACAGCUCCCAGAGUUCACCUGACUGUGAAAACUUCCUGUUAAGCGUUGCUUUCUAUGGACACAGCAUAUAAUGUGGUCUUCUUUAAAAGAUGAUCGAUUGACAACCAUGACUCUUCUCAGUAUUAUAUCUGCAAGUUCUCGAAAAAAAAAACUUACGACCAGUUCCAUGCAUCCUAUCGACCAGUUCCAUGCAUCCUAUCGACCUGAGGUCCAUGCAUCCUAUCGACCAGUUCCAUGCAUCCUAUCGACCUGAGGUCCAUGCAUCCUAUCGACCUGAGGUCCAUGCAUCCUAUCGACCAGGUCCAUGCAUCCUAUCGACCUGAGGUCCAUGCAUCCAAUCGACCAGUUCCAUGCAUCCUAUCGACCAGUUCCAUGCAUCCUAUCGACCAG